This 524-nucleotide ribosomal RNA is filed under the name uncultured bacterium. Its description in RNAcentral is "bacterial SSU rRNA". It matches the Rfam family "Bacterial small subunit ribosomal RNA", at positions 15 to 518 of the family's 1533-position model. The record is from RNAcentral.
GAUCAUGGCUCAGAACGAACGCUGGUAGCGUGGAUUAGGCAUGCAAGUCGAACGGGAUCGCCUGGUUAGCAAUAAUCGGGCGUGAGAGUGGCGGAUUGGGGAGGAACACGUGAGCAACCUGCCCUUGGGACGGGGAAAACCGUUGGAAACGACGGCUAAUACCGGAUGCGGCGCCCUGAGACAUCUCAGGAGCGCCAAAGGGGGCCGCAAGGCUCCCGCCCGAGGAGGGGCUCGCGCACCAUCAGCUUGUUGGCGGGGUAACGGCCCACCAAGGCUUACGGUUAGCUGGUCUGAGAGGAUGGCCAGCCCCACUGGGACUGAGAUACUGCCCAGACUCCUACGGGAGGCUGCAGUCGAGGAUCAUUCGCAAUGGGCGAAAGCCUGACGAUGCGACGCUGCGUGGAGGAUGAAGGCCCUCGGGUCGUAAACUCCUGUCAUGAGGGAAAAGGCGAGGGUACCUAAUACGUACCUUAGUUGAUGGUACCUCAAGAGGAAGGGACGGCUAACUCUGUGCCAGCAGCGGC